UACAGAGGGGGCAAGCGUUGUUCGGAAUUACUGGGCGUAAAGGGCGCGUAGGCGGCCUUCUAAGUCGAACGUGAAAUCCCUGGGCUCAACCCAGGAACUGCGUCCGAUACUGGGAGGCUUGAAUCCGGGAGAGGGAUGUGGAAUUCCAGGUGUAGCGGUGAAAUGCGUUGAUAUCUGGAGGAACACCGGUGGCGAAGGCGGCACCCUGGACCGGUAUUGACGCUGAUGCGCGAAAGCCAGGGGAGCAAACGGG
Molecule: ribosomal RNA, 253 nt
Filed under: uncultured bacterium
Lineage: Bacteria
Description: partial 16S ribosomal RNA
Rfam family: Bacterial small subunit ribosomal RNA
Source: RNAcentral